This 239-nucleotide long non-coding RNA is filed under the name Pan troglodytes (chimpanzee). RNAcentral describes it as "long non-coding RNA NONPTRT000314". The record is from RNAcentral. Lineage: Eukaryota; Metazoa; Chordata; Mammalia; Primates; Hominidae.
GAAAAGGCAGAGGAAAAGGUAAAAGAAAAGAAGAGAAUGAAUUGCAGCUGAGGAAGUGGAAGAGCGAGAAGCGCUUCUAGAUACCAGACUUAACAGGUGGAUUUUUGGGUUUGCUGAAGAAGAAAAAGAAGGAGAAGGAGAAGGAGAAGAAGAAGAGAAGUGUGAUUAACAAGAAAAAAACUUAUUUGGGGUCUAUGAACACCUUGAAUAUUUAACAGAAUAUCAGCUACUCAUCUGUA